AUACGGAGGAUCCGAGCGUUAUCCGGAUUUAUUGGGUUUAAAGGGUGCGCAGGCGGGAGAUUAAGUCGGCGGUGAAAUUUUGCAGCUCAACUGUAAAAGUGCCUUCGAUACUGGUUUCCUUGAGUGUGGAUGAAGUAGGCGGAAUUUGUGGUGUAGCGGUGAAAUGCUUAGAUAUCACGAGGAACUCCGAUUGCGCAGGCGGCUUACUAAACCACUACUGACGCUCAGGCACGAAGGCGUGGGGAUCAAACAGGAUUAGAUACCCUGGUAGUCCACGCAGUAAACGAUGAUUACUGGCUGUUUGCGAUACAAUGUAAGCGGCUGAGCGAAAGCGUUAAGUAAUCCACCUGGGGAGUACGUUCGCAAGAAUGAAACUCAAAGGAAUUGACGGGG
Molecule: ribosomal RNA, 393 nt
Filed under: uncultured bacterium
Lineage: Bacteria
Description: partial 16S ribosomal RNA
Rfam family: Bacterial small subunit ribosomal RNA
Source: RNAcentral